Molecule: ribosomal RNA, 440 nt
Filed under: uncultured bacterium
Lineage: Bacteria
Description: partial 16S ribosomal RNA
Rfam family: Bacterial small subunit ribosomal RNA
Source: RNAcentral
CCUACGGGAGGCAGCAGUGGGGGAUAUUGCACAAUGGGGGUAACCCUGCUGCAGCGACGCAGCGUGUGGGAAGACGGUCCUCUGGAUUGUAAACCACUGUCCCCCGGGGCGAAGAUGACGGUACCUGGGGAGGAAGCUCCGGCUAACUACGUGCCAGCAGCCGCGGUAAUACGUAGGGCGCAAGCGUUGUCCGGAAUUACGGGGUGUAAAGGGAGCGUAGGCGGGAUGGCAAGUUGGGUGUUAAAUCUACCGGCUCAACUGGUAGUCGCACUCAAAACUGCUAUUCUUGAGUGAAGUAGAGGCAGGCGGAAGUCCUAGUGUAGCGGUGAAAUGCGUAGAUAUUAGGAGGAACACCAGUGGCGAAGGCGGCCUGCUGGGCUUUUACUGACGCUGAGGCUCGAAAGUGUGGGGAGCAAACAGGAUUAGAUACCCCAGUAGGC